Molecule: ribosomal RNA, 362 nt
Filed under: uncultured bacterium
Lineage: Bacteria
Description: bacterial SSU rRNA
Rfam family: Bacterial small subunit ribosomal RNA
Source: RNAcentral
CGGGGUGCUUCGGCAUUGAGUGGCGGACGGGUGAGUAACGCGUGAGAAUCUGGUCUAGGGUUGGGGACAACCACGGGAAACGGUGGCUAAUACCGGAUGUGCCGAGAGGUGAAAGAUUAAUUGCCCGAGAAUGAGCUCGCGUCUGAUUAGCUAGUUGGCGGGGUAAGAGCCCACCAAGGCGGCGAUCAGUAACUGGUCUGAGAGGAUGACCAGUCACACUGGGACUGAGACACGGCCCAGACUCCUACGGGAGGCAGCAGUGGGGAAUUUUCCGCAAUGGGCGAAAGCCUGACGGAGCAAUACCGCGUGAGGGAGGAAGGCCCUUGGGUUGUAAACCUCUUUUCUCAGGGAAGAAAACUGAC